UCGCGCCGAGGCUCGAGCGGCCGUCGCCAUUUUAUCGGGUUGACUCUGACAGACGCGGGAGCCGCCGCCGCCCCCGGAGGCCCCGUCGAGAUGGUGAAGCUGUUCAUCGGCAACCUGCCCCGCGAGGCGACGGAGCAGGAGAUCCGCUCGCUGUUCGAGCAGUACGGGAAGGUGCUCGAGUGCGACAUCAUCAAGAACUACGGCUUCGUGCACAUCGAGGACAAGACGGCGGCCGAGGACGCCAUCCGCAACCUGCACCACUACAAGCUGCACGGCGUCAACAUCAACGUGGAGGCCAGCAAGAACAAGAGCAAGGCCUCCACCAAGCUGCACGUGGGCAACAUCAGCCCCACGUGCACCAACAUGGAGCUGCGCGCCAAGUUCGAGGAGUACGGGUCCGUGAUCGAGUGCGACAUCGUCAAGGACUACGCCUUCGUGCACAUGGAGCGCGCCGAGGACGCCGUGGAGGCCAUCCGCGGCCUGGACAACACCGAGUUCCAAGGCAAACGGAUGCACGUGCAGCUGUCCACCAGCCGGCUCCGGACCGCCCCCGGAAUGGGAGACCAGAGCGGCUGCUAUCGGUGCGGGAAAGAGGGCCACUGGUCCAAAGAGUGUCCAGUGGAUCGGACGGGCCGCGUGGCAGACUUGACCGAGCAGUAUAAUGAGCAGUACGGAGCCAUCCGCGCGCCCUACGCCAUGGGCUACGGGGAGUCAGUGUAUUACAACAAUCCAUACGGAGCGCUCGACUAUUAUAAGCGUUACCGGGUGAGGUCUUAUGAGGCGGUGGCGGCAGCGGCGGCGGCCUCCGCGUACAACUAUGCAGAGCAGACCCUGUCCCAGCUCCCACAAGUCCAGAACCCAGCCAUGAGCAGUCACCUCACCUCCUCCUCUCUCAACCCUUACGAUAGACACCUGUUGCCAGCCUCAGGAGCUGCUGCUGCCACCGCUGCUGUGGCUGCCGCUGCCGCCGCCGCUACUGCAGCCACCUCCUCCUAUUACGGGCGGGACCGGAGCCCCCUGCGCCGAGCUGCAGCUGCGGUCCCCGCUAUCGGAGAGGGCUACGGUUAUGGGCAUGAGAAUGAGCUGUCCCAGGCCUCGGCAGCUGCGCGGAAUUCUCUGUACGAUGUGGCGCGGUACGAGCGGGAGCAGUAUACAGACCGGGCGCGGUACUCGGCCUUUUAAAGCUCGAGGCUGACAGGAAAGGCCUCGUCACAUCGUUUAGUGUGGGAAGACGUUCCCUGCACACCCUUUGCUGAAAGCUGACUGCUGCCCUCAGAGUAUCUGGGUUGAUGUUGUUAGUGGACACACGUUCUGGACCUGGGCGGCCUGUCCCUUGCCCACUGUAGGCCACUUUGCCCAAGAAUUGGAUUGGAUCUUGAUCUCUUGAGAUUUCUUUCUGGCUCAGCCUGAGACGUCCAGCUGCUUUCAAAUACUUUCCUUAGGAGAGGCUGGGAGCCAGCCCUUAGCAGUCGGAGCCCCGCCGUCCCCGGACAGUGUCUAAGCCUCUUGUGUUGUGCUCUCUUUCAGGUAGGCUAUUUGCGGGCUGAACCCUCGGGCUGCGGUCGGUCGUAUGGGAGGACUGCUUCACUCGCGCGGUCCCCUUUGCCGGGAUGUUGUCGUUGCUUCAUGUUUCAGUAAACAAAGGAGUUUGUGACCAACUGUGGCUUUUUUUCCCCCUUAAUUUAAUUCUUCUAAGGUGGCUCUUUCCUCCCUGCUAACAGACCGUCUGUGUAACUUCUCAUUCAACAUUUCCUUCUUUCCUCAGCCUCUGAGCAGCCCGGGCUGGUAAGGACUCUGCUGGCCUUGCCCCUCCCGAGGGAACCUGGAGCCCUUCUCCCUCCCUGGCUUCUCCUAGGAGUUCAGCUCCUGUCCUUGGCCACCAGCACUAGGAUCUGCUGGCCCUUUACUGGGACUGUCUGGUGUCAAAUAGCCCACCCCAUCUGGACUGUCACACUGCAGCAGCUGACCUGAGAGUGCUGAGAUCCUGGGGGGCCAGGGCAGGGGUUGCCGUGGUGGGGGAGGGGAGCGCUUUUUUAAUGACCUCUGAUCAUGGUGCCAGCACGUGCUGGAGGCGACUCAGCCCCUUCUCCCCAUGCCCUUUUUGAACAAAUAAACCUUUCUACCAAUCCAG
Molecule: RNA transcript, 2131 nt
Organism: Vombatus ursinus (common wombat)
Lineage: Eukaryota; Metazoa; Chordata; Mammalia; Diprotodontia; Vombatidae
Gene name: RNA-binding protein 4B
Exons: 5
Source: RefSeq, a predicted model, not a curated record